Small nuclear RNA from Gracilinanus agilis (Agile Gracile Mouse Opossum), 103 nucleotides. Lineage: Eukaryota; Metazoa; Chordata; Mammalia; Didelphimorphia; Didelphidae. The record is from RefSeq and is a predicted model, not a curated record.
GUAUGGAUCACAAAAUAUCUGAAAAUUAUUAUUGAUACAGAGAAGAUUAGCAUGGCCCCUGCACAAGGAUGACAUGCAAAUUCGUGAAGCAUUCCAUAUUUUU